AUCGGCAUCCUAUACAUGCAAGUCGACGAACGGAGGAAGAGCUUGCUCUUCCAAAGUUAGUGGCGGACGGGUGAGUAACACGUGGGCAACCUGCCUGUAAGUUGGGGAUAACUCCGGGAAACCGGGGCUAAUACCGAAUAAUAAGUGGUGGCGCAUGCCACGGCUUUGAAAGAUGGUUUCGGCUAUCGCUUACAGAUGGGCCCGCGGUGCAUUAGCUAGUUGGUAGGGUAAUGGCCUACCAAGGCAACGAUGCAUAGCCGACCUGAGAGGGUGAUCGGCCACACUGGGACUGAGACACGGCCCAGACUCCUACGGGAGGCAGCAGUAGGGAAUCUUCCGCAAUGGACGAAAGUCUGACGGAGCAACGCCGCGUGUAUGAAGAAGGUUUUCGGAUCGUAAAGUACUGUUGUUAGAGAAGAACAAGGAUAAGAGUAACUGCUUGUCCCUUGACGGUAUCUAACCAGAAAGCCACGGCUAACUACGUGCCAGCAGCCGCGGUAAUACGUAGGUGGCAAGCGUUGUCCGGAUUUAUUGGGCGUAAAGCGCGCGCAGGCGGUCUUUUAAGUCUGAUGUGAAACCCCCCGGCUUAACCG
RNAcentral lists this ribosomal RNA (593 nucleotides) under uncultured Listeria sp. Its description in RNAcentral is "bacterial SSU rRNA". It matches the Rfam family "Bacterial small subunit ribosomal RNA", at positions 38 to 615 of the family's 1533-position model. The record is from RNAcentral. Lineage: Bacteria; Bacillati; Bacillota; Bacilli; Caryophanales; Listeriaceae.